CUUUCGAUAGCUCAGCUGGUAGAGCGGAGGACUGUAGAUCCUUAGGUCGCUGGUUCGAUUCCGGCUCGAAGGA
RNAcentral lists this transfer RNA (73 nucleotides) under Loxodonta africana (African savanna elephant). RNAcentral's name for it is "tRNA-Tyr (GTA) (tRNA-Tyr-GTA-7-1)". It matches the Rfam family "tRNA". Rfam says of the family: Transfer RNA (tRNA) molecules are approximately 80 nucleotides in length. Their secondary structure includes four short double-helical elements and three loops (D, anti-codon, and T loops). Further hydrogen bonds mediate the characteristic L-shaped molecular structure. tRNAs have two regions of fundamental functional importance: the anti-codon, which is responsible for specific mRNA codon recognition, and the 3' end, to which the tRNAs corresponding amino acid is attached (by aminoacyl-tRNA synthetases). tRNAs cope with the degeneracy of the genetic code in two manners: having more than one tRNA (with a specific anti-codon) for a particular amino acid; and 'wobble' base-pairing, i.e. permitting non-standard base-pairing at the 3rd anti-codon position. The record is from RNAcentral. Lineage: Eukaryota; Metazoa; Chordata; Mammalia; Proboscidea; Elephantidae.